This 452-nucleotide ribosomal RNA is filed under the name uncultured organism. RNAcentral describes it as "partial 16S ribosomal RNA". It matches the Rfam family "Bacterial small subunit ribosomal RNA", at positions 333 to 801 of the family's 1533-position model. The record is from RNAcentral.
ACACUCCUACGGGAGGCAGCAGUGGGGAAUAUUGGACAAUGGGCGCAAGCCUGAUCCAGCCAUGCCGCGUGAGUGAUGAAGGCCCUAGGGUUGUAAAGCUCUUUCACCGGUGAAGAUAAUGACGGUAACCGGAGAAGAAGCCCCGGCUAACUUCGUGCCAGCAGCCGCGGUAAUACGAAGGGGGCUAGCGUUGUUCGGAUUUACUGGGCGUAAAGCGCACGUAGGCGGACUAUUAAGUCAGGGGUGAAAUCCCGGGGCUCAACCCCGGAACUGCCUUUGAUACUGGUAGUCUUGAGUUCGAGGGAGGUGAGUGGAAUUCCGAGUGUAGAGGUGAAAUUCGUAGAUAUUCGGAGGAACACCAGUGGCGAAGGCGGCUCACUGGCUCGAUACUGACGCUGAGGUGCGAAAGCGUGGGGAGCAAACAGGAUUAGAUACCCGAGUAGUCCCAUGAU